GAAAUACGUGCAGCUUUACAGUGGUGAAUGGAGACAAUAACAGAACCUACUGGGAAAGAUGAAAUGAGACAAUGCUUGCAAAGCACUUAGCACCCCUACUAGCCCACAAACAAUUAUAAAGUGAAUGCCUGGCCUGCUCCGAUUUAGG
Long non-coding RNA from Lemur catta (Ring-tailed lemur), 148 nucleotides. RefSeq lists it as uncharacterized. The transcript has 3 exons. The record is from RefSeq and is a predicted model, not a curated record. NCBI's taxonomy places the organism in Eukaryota, Metazoa, Chordata, Mammalia, Primates, Lemuridae.